AGGAAUCUGCCUGGUAGUGGGGGACAACAUGCGUAAACGCAUGCUAAUACCGCAUACGCCCUACGGGGGAAAGGAGGGGAUCUUCGGACCUUUCGCUAUCAGAUGAGCCUGCGUGAGAUUAGCUAGUUGGUGGGGUAAAGGCUCACCAAGGCGACGAUCCCUACCUGGUUUGAAAGGAUGAUCAGCCACACUGGGACUGAGACACGGCCCAGACUCCUACGGGAGGCAGCAGUGGGGUAUAUAGCCCAAUGGGCGCAAGCCUGAUGCACCCAUGCC
This 276-nucleotide ribosomal RNA is filed under the name uncultured Alteromonadaceae bacterium. RNAcentral describes it as "partial 16S ribosomal RNA". It matches the Rfam family "Bacterial small subunit ribosomal RNA", at positions 119 to 398 of the family's 1533-position model. Lineage: Bacteria; Pseudomonadati; Pseudomonadota; Gammaproteobacteria; Alteromonadales; Alteromonadaceae. The record is from RNAcentral.